This 253-nucleotide ribosomal RNA is filed under the name uncultured bacterium. RNAcentral's name for it is "partial 16S ribosomal RNA". It matches the Rfam family "Bacterial small subunit ribosomal RNA", at positions 524 to 776 of the family's 1533-position model. The record is from RNAcentral.
UACGUAGGGCGCAAGCGUUAUCCGGAAUUAUUGGGCGUAAAGAGCUCGUAGGCGGUUUGUCGCGUCUGCCGUGAAAGUCCGGGGCUCAACUCCGGAUCUGCGGUGGGUACGGGCAGACUAGAGUGAUGUAGGGGAGACUGGAAUUCCUGGUGUAGCGGUGAAAUGCGCAAAUAUCAGGAGGAACACCGAUGGCGAAGGCGGGUCUCUGGGCAUUAACUGACGCUGAGGAGCGAAAGCAUGGGGAGCGAACAGG